RNAcentral lists this microRNA precursor (104 nucleotides) under Orobanche cernua var. cumana. Its description in RNAcentral is "miR167a". The stretch from base 6 to 97 matches the Rfam family "MIR167 microRNA precursor family". Lineage: Eukaryota; Viridiplantae; Streptophyta; Magnoliopsida; Lamiales; Orobanchaceae. The record is from RNAcentral.
CCGUGCUAUUGUAUCAGUUGAAGCUGCCAGCAUGAUCUAAACUUUUCUCCUUUAUGUGGAAAGACAAGAUCAUGUGGUAGCUUCAUCCGAUGCGAGUAGCACGA